Artibeus jamaicensis (Jamaican fruit-eating bat) is the source of this 2618-nucleotide long non-coding RNA. RefSeq lists it as uncharacterized. The record is from RefSeq and is a predicted model, not a curated record. NCBI's taxonomy places the organism in Eukaryota, Metazoa, Chordata, Mammalia, Chiroptera, Phyllostomidae. The transcript is spliced from 3 exons.
AAACGUGGCCAACCUUCCCUGCGUUCUUGAUUCUCAGCAGGUUACGAAUUGAGUUGCGAUUUAAAAAUUCAUUCUUCUGGGGCCAUUCUGUGGUCUUCCUGCCUUUAGCCAGCUCCUUGCCCCGUUAAGGUUCUGCACCUGGUGGAGCGAUGCCAGUUUUGACCUUGACCUGUCCGAGUCCCUAGUGUCCAUCUCUUUUUGGGUCACUCGAGUCUUCCGUGAACCUGGACGAACAACUGCUGAUAUGCACCUCAGAGGCGCCCCUGGGCUCAGAUACGGUCCUUCUUCGUAUAGUGUGGUGACAUUUGGUCCUGGGCUCAGUCAGACCAGCCACAGCAGUCUGCUUCCUCUCUGGUUGAUUCAGGGGCGUGAAGAGCCCGGAAUGGUGGUGUGGUAGUUCUACUUUGAGUUUUCUAAGGAGCCUCUGCACUGGUUCCCACAGUGGGACAUUCCCACCAACACGCAGCAGGGUUCCCUGUUCUCCGCGUCCUCACCCUCACUUGUUCCUUGUGGACUUUGGUGACGGCCAUCUGGUCGGCGUGAGGUGCUGUCUCCGGGUGGUCGAGAUGUGGGUUCUCCUAACACUUAGCCCGACUGCCUUUUGUUUGACUAGGCUUGACAUCUAAACCGCCUUUCAUAUCUGGAAUCAGAAUGAAAAUUCUUUGCUGGGGCACAUUCGGGGUUAAAAAGAAAAAGCACCCUUAAAAAUCAGCCUGUGAGGUUGUGCUGGGUUGACCGGUGAGCUGAGACUGAGGACAUUUAAGGCGGGGGGCUUUGCUCUGGGACCCCGUAGGCCCAGCUCGAGGCAGCUGGGUGGGGCGCCCGCAUCCUGCUGAGCCCCUCAUUGUCUCCGGGGCACAACAAGAUUCACUUCAGAUGCAGUGCCUAGGUCCUCUGUACUAUCGGGGACAAUUUGACAUUAAUUUCUAAGAGGUGCCAUCUUUUAGCUCAGUGUUUGUCAUGGGUCACAUGAUCUCUGAUGACUAAGGUGACACUCAGGACAAUUUCAUGGCAAAUCGAGUCCCAAAUUAUAGCCCUUGAAGGGGUUUGCAUUAAUAACGGUCUUUAACAGCACAGCAGGGGGCCUGGCCACCCCCUGGGUUACACUGCACUCAAGUACUGUUACUAAUGUCGCAUUUCAGUAGGAACAAGAGGAUUGUGUUAUUAAGACACACGCUCUGAUCUUCUCUCGUGAAAACAAGCACUCACAUCACCAGAGACACCCCUGGAUGGUGGGAUAAUGAAGACAGGGUUAUUUCUGCCUGGAUGGGGUUCCCCUGUCUCUGAGUUAAGAAGCAUGACCCACUGCAUUGUACUUCUUAGCUGUGAGAGACCGGGGCCUCUGGUGUGAUAGAGUCUGAGGAAGUCUGGCCGGGUAAUUAGUGACGAGCCUCCCCCAUUGAAUGCUUUGCUGUCGGAGAGAUUUCAGGGUUCGGAUGCGCCUGCACAGAGCGGUAUGCUGAGUUUGGUGAGAUGCGGAGCUGGUCAGGCAGGUCAGCUGCGGCCCGCCUUCUGAGAAUCUGUUCUAGAAACAGAUAUUGACAUCGAUGUCCGCGUGGCCGGACAUGCAUUCGCAGUCCUGGAUGUGAAGGAGAAACAAGAAUCGGGUAAGAAAACUGACUGUGUCCUGUCAACAGACAUCACCCGGGGACUUGGGUAGUUUUUCAUACACUGAGGACGGGACGGUGGCUGGAUCCUUACAAGGUGGGGGCCAAGUUCACUCAUCCCACUCCAAGGCCACAUGAAAACAGUGCUCUUGGCCUCCCUCUGUGCGUGUGUGCUUUCUCUGGGUAGAGCGCACAUUUCUAACUCAUCUGAAAGAUGAAAUAGUGCCCACUUCUUUGCUAGGCUGGCUUUCUCUAGAGACUUUGGAUUCUCUGUUACGUGGCUAUUGAACCCAUGCACCCACUGAAACUCUAUCUGUUCUCCGCAAGGCCCUGUGCUGUGCGCUGGUGGAAAUGGGCACUGUGCGCACAGUCCAGAACUCACUGUCUAACAGUGAGGACUCAGCUGAGCGUGCAGAGCCCUGACCUGUGAUCAGUUGCCAGGACCCGACUCCUGGUGCUUGAGGCAAGGCCUUUUGAAGAGGCAUCAAGAAGGCAGCUAUACCCUGGCUGGUGCAGCUCAGUGGAUUGAACAUGGGCCUGCGAACCAAAGGAUCGCGGUUCGAUUCCUAGUCAGGGCACAUGCCUGGGUUGCAGGCUGGUUCCCAGCAGGGGACCCAUGAGAGGCAACCGUACAUUGAUAUUUCUCUCCCUCUCUCCUUCCCUUCCCCUCUAAAGAUAAAUUUUUUAAAAAAAAGAAGGCAGCCCAUCUGUAAGCCAAGGAGAAAGGCCUCAGAGGAAGUCAGCCCUGCGACGCCCUGGUUCUGGACUUCCAGCUUCCGGGACGAGUGAAACGCUCUCCCAGGAAUCGGCCGCACUGCGCCAGUGUCUCCUGCGCUGCCAGCCACACCCAGUGGAGGGCGGCUGAGUGGCACCCACGGAGGAGAGUGAGCCCUUUGGCAGGGAGGAGGGGGCAGGUAUGUUAGCGUGUGCUGGCUGGGCUUCGGGGACAGCCUGCUCGCUAUAAUCACGUCCCCACUGCCAUUCACCCAGCUGCCUCUGCUGCCCGGUGCC